CAGUAGCCGCGGUAAUACGGAGGGUGCAAGCGUUAAUCGGAAUUACUGGGCGUAAAGCGUGCGUAGGUGGUCUGACAAGUCAGAUGUGAAAUCCCCGGGCUUAACCUGGGAACUGCAUUUGAAACUGUCAGGCUGGAGUCUUGUAGAGGGGGGUGGAAUUCCAGGUGUAGCGGUGAAAUGCGUAGAGAUCUGGAGGAAUACCGGUGGCGAAGGCGGCCCCCUGGACAAAGACUGACGCUCAGGUGCGAAAGCGUGGGGAGCAAACAGGAUUAGAUACCCCAGUAGUCCCUGUCUCUUAUAC
RNAcentral lists this ribosomal RNA (301 nucleotides) under uncultured bacterium. Its description in RNAcentral is "partial 16S ribosomal RNA". It matches the Rfam family "Bacterial small subunit ribosomal RNA", at positions 509 to 807 of the family's 1533-position model. The record is from RNAcentral.